Leptopilina boulardi is the source of this 2040-nucleotide long non-coding RNA. RefSeq lists it as uncharacterized. The transcript is spliced from 3 exons. The record is from RefSeq and is a predicted model, not a curated record. Lineage: Eukaryota; Metazoa; Arthropoda; Insecta; Hymenoptera; Figitidae.
CCUUGGUGCCAGAAAGACCCACUAGAUAUCUAGUAGUCGACGGGGUGUCCCCAGUGGGUGAGGCCGGGUAGGGAGGGGGGUAGCCUCCCGCUGAGUGAAGAGUUAUCAGUUGGGGGUAAGAACUCAUCGUAUAACUGUGUAACGAUUAGAGAUUCGGCCUCGUAAUAAUAAAAUGGAGAAAGAGUGUGAGCUGCACCACAACAAAAGAAUUUAAAAAAUGGAGUAACAUAUCGGAUUGUGGAAGUAUAUGACCAACGUCUUGCAGUACAACGGAUCAUAAUGGAAGGUGAUAAAAGAAGAAUAAGGUGCAGUACACCUAUAGCCUUCUAAGAGUGAGCCGUAGAUUUAGUGCUGAAAGCUUGUGGUGACAUCAGAAAUAGAUAUACGGAGACGAUCAAUGAAAAUCGUUAAGUUGAAAGCGGAGGAGGCAACAAAUGCUAACCAGAAACGAGAAAGAGGUCCUGCAGAUCAUAGUCUUUAGACGUUUAGAAGAACAUGAAAUUUACGAUAGAGGAUGGUUUAGUUAUUCCUUAAAGCAGUUUAUAAGUAAAGGCAACAGAAAUAGAAGCCACGUACAACGUAGACCUAAGGUAAAGAAAGCGACAACAGAAUUUACCGUGGUCAUCGGAGUCGUUCAAGGAUGUUCGUAUGCUGAUGUUUUGGGAAAGCUUCGCAAAAAAGUCAAUCCAGACGUUCGCCAUGUGAGGAGUGGCAACUGUUAAGGGCGCAGUCACAUAAAGCAGAUUAGUGGAUUAACAGAGUAGACGUCGAACACUCCAAAUGUACUCCCUUGGGUCAAACAAUACACGGCAAAACUGUUUAGCGGAUGCACUGCAAAAAGAAGUAUCUUAUUAUAAGACACAUUGGAAACCAGUUACCAAAAGUAUCUUCCUAUCCAACUUAUAUCUUAAGAAACUAAUGCAUUUAAAGAUGUUUUUGAUAACUUAGAAGCAAGUUAUAAUAAAUAUCUUAAAAAGGCGACCAAAACAUUUUAAAAUAAUACUUCCUUUUGCAGUGCGGGUGCGUCAUUGACAAUAGUGCAGGACCACUCGAUGUUAGCCUCACAGCUCAGUCAAAAUUAGGAGAGUUGUUUUCUUAAAACCUGGAGGAACUGCACUCCCAAUUUGUAUAUAUAGUAAGCAGCUGAUCGGCACCUUUGGGUUCGUUAAUACACAUCCAGAAUUCAACAGCUCGAUGAAAAAGGGCACAUGCUCUCUCAAAUAAAAAGCUCUUUUUUAACGCAGCAUUUUACCUCAUUAGGUAAAAAUCUCUCUCAACAUUUUUUCUGUGUAGGUGACUCCAGCAGGGGAGGCUUUUACCGCGGAGAUUAUCAAGGCAGGUUGGUGGAUCGAAAGGUCACACUUGAGAUUGGCGACUUGGAUUCUCUUUUUCAGAUGGAAGAAGUCCAGGAAGAACUCGAUAAGGCAAGAAUUAGGAAGAUGACGGUCUUAAGACCCAGACGUUGAGGAAUAGAAGUCGCGAUUGUAGUUACCAACCCAGAUGAAGUGGACAGGCUGGAGGAAAUGGAACGCAUAAAAAUUGAUUUUACGUGUUGGCUAAUUAGAAAGGAGUGUGUUGGUCCUCCGGUGUCACCGAAGUUUUGGGUAUACUGACAAAUAGGAAGGACUUCGAAGCGGAGGACAAAUCUACUGUGUGCUUUAAUCAUAAAUUCGCUGGUUUUAAGAAGACCUCGAGGUGCUUUCUGUAUAGGAUGCAAUUGUUAGGAUGGUUAAAACCGACAAUGUAGUAGGCAGAAGAACAUGCCGAAUAUUCGGAUAAUUUUUUGAGGAAACAAUGAAGAGUUUGACAAGGCUUCGAAAAGAAAUAGACUAGAACAAGAGCUGCACCGAGGAAUAGCUUCAGGAACGGAAAGGAAAUCUCUUCUACGAAGACUAAAACCGAAACGUAGUUUACUAUGGUUCAUCAAGUGAGUUAAAGAUUCAGAAAUACCAUUACAGUCCCACAGUAUCCAACUUCGGUCUCCAUAAAAAAUAUUUUGACUCUCCCUAUCAUAUAGCAAAAACCAUAUUUUCAAUUUGA